Molecule: long non-coding RNA, 598 nt
Filed under: Homo sapiens (human)
Lineage: Eukaryota; Metazoa; Chordata; Mammalia; Primates; Hominidae
Description: non-protein coding lnc-SPAG17-1:1
Source: RNAcentral
AGGUUUAAAGUAAAGCAGCCCCCACCCAGCACAGGACUGAAAGUGACUUACAAACCUGGACCUGUGGCAGCUGGUAUGCAGACAGAACUGAAUAUAGAGUUAUUUGCCACAGCUGUUGGAGAGGAUGGGGCCAAGGGAUCAGCACACAUCUCUCACAAUAUCGAGAUUAUGACAGAGCAUGAGUGUCUUCAGCCAAACAGAUAUUAGAUAGAUAUCAAGAACCUAUUACCUCCAAGAUGCCGAAACGCCUGCCUUUAUGUAGCUUACAUUCCAGUGGGAGGACAGACAAUACAUAAACAAUUAUGAUAAACGACCAAAAGACUUUCCCCAGGGAAAAGAAAAUCCAAUGGUCCAGAGAACUUCUACAAUUUAUUCCUCCACACUUGGAGUCUUCAUGUCUCGUAAAGUUUCUCCACAUUAGUUUCUUCUCGGUACAACUCAAUAGCCUCCAUAAUCCUCUCAGCCUACAGAGGAUGAGAAAGGAAAGAAGUCAUCACAACAUACUCCAUCAUCCCAGGACACUGAAACUGGAAGAACUGACCAGAAAUUUGCCAAAUGAAAUAGCUUCAAUCUGUUUAAUAAAGACGUGCGAAUAGAG